Molecule: ribosomal RNA, 19 nt
Filed under: Leishmania major
Lineage: Eukaryota; Euglenozoa; Kinetoplastea; Trypanosomatida; Trypanosomatidae
Description: partial 18S ribosomal RNA
Source: RNAcentral
CCUGCAGCUGGAUCAUUUU